Molecule: ribosomal RNA, 464 nt
Filed under: Encarsia nr. tristis SS-2006
Lineage: Eukaryota; Metazoa; Arthropoda; Insecta; Hymenoptera; Aphelinidae
Description: eukaryotic LSU rRNA
Source: RNAcentral
CCUGAGAAACCCAAAAGAUCGAAUGGGGAGAUUCAUCGUCAAUCGCUUUGGCUUCCGUGUGGUUCGCGAUGAUCAGGGCUUCGGCUCUGCGUCACGCAAUCGCUGCGGUCAUGUCCAAGGUGGUCGGCGUGCACUUCUCCCCUAGUAGGACGUCGCGAUUCGUUGGGUGUCGCGGUUUACGAGAUCGUGAGGUAGUCUGACGAAUCUCGUUCACGCGUGUCAUUUGUCAGACCUCUGAUUUUCCAACCGACUGCCCGGCGAUAUAAAACUAUAAUCAAUGGUAUUGGGCCGCAUCGAAUGCGUUUUUGGCUCGUCGGCAGGUAUGUCUCGCUUGGAUUUACGGACCUAGCGCCGUUGCCGAGUGCUUGGCUUAUCGUUCGCCGACGAUGUCCUCGAACUGGCUCUAAAUAUUCUUUAUUGAAUAUACCGAUCGGCGACGCUACUGCUUUGGGUACUUUCAGGAC